AGACCACAUUUUUUUCACCCAGAUCCCGAGCUCUCUCUUUGUAAGGUGAUUGAAGGGUUCCGUUAAAAGGGUCCAAUAAUUUGAUUAAUAAUAAUAAAGAAAAAGAAUUAGGAAAGUAGAAACUCCACAAGUUUUACUGCAAUUCUCUCCUUCCUUACACAUUUUCUCUCUCUUUAUUUUGAUACUCGAAAAAUUGAUGAAUAAGGUAAAAUCAUGAAGCUUAAACUUGAACAUUUACUGAAAAGUAUGUUCCAACUGCAUCCAUUGAAGAACGGUGGCAAGGCUGUCGAUAGCACAAGUGUUGACUGUGAUAUCGCAGAGGCAGAAGUCAGCACUAAGGGAAGCAUACAAGAACAAGAAGUGCCUGUUUCUCGACCUUCUUCCCAAGAAGACCAGAGCCAUCCGGAGACGUCUUACAAAUCAUCAAACAGUUGAAUCUUGACCUUGAUUCUUAUGGAUACGUUGAUAAUCUUUUAAUAAUUGAAAGAACUACAUAAUGAUCUUCUUUCUUUGGUAAUAGUUUGUUAGUUUCGGUAAUAGUUUGUUAGUUUUGUACUCGGUUCUUCAAAUGUGAUGCAUCAAUUUAUUUUAUUAUAAUUAUUGACAUUAUAGUCUUUUUU
This is a long non-coding RNA of Capsicum annuum, 620 nucleotides long. RefSeq lists it as uncharacterized. The record is from RefSeq and is a predicted model, not a curated record. Lineage: Eukaryota; Viridiplantae; Streptophyta; Magnoliopsida; Solanales; Solanaceae. The transcript is spliced from 2 exons.